This 209-nucleotide unclassified non-coding RNA is filed under the name Hevea brasiliensis (rubber tree). The record is from RNAcentral. Lineage: Eukaryota; Viridiplantae; Streptophyta; Magnoliopsida; Malpighiales; Euphorbiaceae.
AAUUUAUCUAAUUCCUCAAUAUGCACUCUUACAAGCUCUAUCAACAAAAAUCAUCUGUAUAACAAAAUAAGCGAAUUCUGCUGCUACCCAAGAAAAAAAAAUAAAAAAGGGAAAGAAAUUGAAGGAGUGCAGAGGAGACUGCUGUAAAGCAUCGCAAACGAAGAGGUUUUGGUGCUGCCAUUUUAUAGUGAUGAUCAGUGAAAACCCUA